ACGCUGGCUUGUUGUCUAGCGUUAGCGGUAGUCUUUAAAAACAUGGAGCCGACACGGCCAGGCGAGUAAGCUCUGCCUGUUCCACGCAGUUCUGCAUCAGCAUUGGUUCUGCUGCUAUUGCUUGUCCGCGAGCUAUCCCUGCUGAGGCAGCGUUCGGCAUUCCCACGGUUCCCUUUGGAGAGUGUUUCACUUGGUGACCUGCGUUCCUGCAGUAGCCCUCGGUUUCAUCUGUGCUCCGCAUCUACGCGCUUACUACUUGCAUCCUUUGCAGUGGUUUAUCCAGUCUUCUUCCUCCCUCCGCGUUCUGGGUCCACAUUCGCGACAUUUGCCUCCGAGAUCAGCUGGGUAUUCGGCCCCGGUGCAUGUAAAUAUCAGGCUUUGGGCCGCCGGGUACUCUCAUUCCCUCUCUACUGGGCCUACAACGAGCAGCGCCUCUGCAUCGUCGGGCUCUGCUCCGGCUGCUGUUCUGCUUUUAUUGAGUUUCUUUCAUUUAUAGGAUAUUCUCACGCUGUUGCUUGUCUCGUCUCACGGCGGCACCGCACUGAGAGGGGCCGCGCACCACAAUAGCAUACGGCAGCGUGUGUGGGCCCACUGCAGCCAGUGUGUGCUUGAGUGUAUGUGUGUUGGUGUGUGUGUCAGUGUGUGUGCGUCCUUGCGAGUUUUGUGUGGGGGGGCGCGUGAGUAAGUGGGUAUUACCCACUCACUAUUGAGUAUAUUUUUUUGUGUUCUGGUUUAUUUUAUUUUAUUGUUUUGUGUUUUGAUUUAUUCUGUUAAUUUAUCGUUUGUGAUUUCUGUACGUAUCCCGUGGGCAUUGGUCAAGUUCACAGGGCCUGUGUGGGCCUCACAUUUUGUCCCUCACGACUUGUUGUGUUGGUUAAGGCACUUUGCUGUGCCCCUCGGGGGUGCGAUAUUUGCUGUGUGUGUAUAGCUUGCUGUGCGUGUGUGCUAUCACUGUGGUUUGUGAGUUACCUUACUACUAGCCCUGUGGUCACUGUACCGUGUUAAUUGUAUUUUCUUUUCUUUUCUUUGGCAGGACCAGGGAUGACCAGCAGGGGGCCAAGCCGUUGGUGGUGGGUAUCCGUGUCUGUGAGUUCACAUUUAUGGUAGUGUAGCGGCACCUGGGUGUGCAGUGCAGUGUAUAUCACGUGUGGUCCUUCUGACCCACUCCAUAGCUACGGUCCUCCCUCUGGUAAGCCCUCUGUCGUUUUGCUUUAUUAAUUAAUGUACGUGUUUAUGUUUGUUUGUAUUGUAUUUCUGGUGGGCCUACCGAUAACCAUACCCACAGCAGUUUGCAUGUGAGCGCGUAUGUGUGUGUGAGUGUGUACGUGCGCAAUCAUUUAACAGAACCUUUGAAAAACAUUUUAAAGAGUUGAGAAAUAUUUGAAAAUAAAUAAACAUUUAUACGAUUGGAAAUAGAACCUUGUCUCUGUUUUGAUUUGCACAAACCUGAUUGCCUUUGUGCGGGUACAUUGUGAAACGUGGUAACUGUGAUCAAUCUGGGUGUUUGUAACCAUAAAUUCACUUUCCCUCGGGGGAUCAUACUCCCCGGGGGUGGCGUAGUCGAAAGUACUUAUUGGUUUCUGCCACUUACUACAA
Alosa sapidissima (American shad) is the source of this 1596-nucleotide long non-coding RNA. RefSeq lists it as uncharacterized. The transcript is spliced from 3 exons. The record is from RefSeq and is a predicted model, not a curated record. Lineage: Eukaryota; Metazoa; Chordata; Actinopteri; Clupeiformes; Clupeidae.